CAGACCAGCUGGGGUUAGGAACCCAAAGCAGGGCAGGAUUCAUCCACACAGUCAUGGUUUAUUUAUUCAUGUAGCUCCAGCAAAGAAAGUUAAAAACAGAGCUGGAGCCCAGCAGGGAGCAGGGGCCUGAUGCUGCAUGCUGGUCUGGAGGCUUGGUCUCGUCCAGGACGCUGGACUCCCCUGAGGAAGUUGGGGGAGGAGGACUUUCUCCACCAGAAGGAGGAAUGGAUCAAGAACAGAGGUGCUGUGGGAUCCCAGACAUGGGAGGUGACAGCCGAUCCCAAGACAGAUGUGUAUCACCAGGGAGACAUCCAGAUCUCGGUUCUGAAGCAGAUCCAGAAAGCAGCCAUUCUCCUGAGGGGUGUUGCCAGGAAAAAAUAAAACGUCUGCUUACCUGGCAUGUGAUCACAACGAAAGUCUUUGCCAGAACCAAACAGGGGUCCCAGCCAGGAAUGGCGCCGGGGGUCCUGAACCCACCUAGACUGGUGCCCAGACACCCUUUCUGCUCUCUGCACGGAGCCCCCCUCAGCAAGCGCCACCAGCAGGCCAGGCGCCAGGGAAGAUGCCACUGGGAAUCUGCCUCUGCAAAGGAUUUCACAUCAGUGCCUCCAGCUGAUGGAUGUCCAGGCUGGCUACAUGCUUUCUGCUGUCCCAGACGAGGUUGUAAUGCAUGUUCCAGAGCCUGGGUCAGACUAGCUGUCAGGUUCUUAAUACCAGCACCUUGAUUUCGCUUUGAGGAAUGGCUUCUACACAAAUUGGGUCUUGCCUUGGUGGACCCGUGGACCAGUGCAGCUUUUCCCUCUUCCACCAUGGCCAUGGGUGGGCAUUCAACCCCACAGAGGAAAUCGGGCACCCUCUCACCUGGGUGUUUGGAUCAGUGGAGGAUAGACACACCUUCUGGUCCUGGCUGGAACCCUGACAAGAUUGUCAGCUGCUUUCAGGGCCGACUCAGUGCUUGUUCUUCAAGACCAGGCGUCCUCAAACUGCGGCCUGCGGGCCACAUGAAGCGGUGUGAAUUGUAUUUAUUCCCGUUUUGUUCUUUACUUCAAAAUAAGAUAUGGGCAGUGUGCAUAGGAAUUUGUUCAUAGUUGUUUUUUUUUUUUUAAACUAUAGUCCGGCCCUCCAAUGGUCUGAGGGACAGUGAAUUGACCCCUUGUUUAAAAAGUUUGAGGACGCCUGUUCUAGAGAAUGUUCCCUCAACUUUCCUUCCACACUGUGGCCCUUCUGUCAAUUUGUUUUUAUUUAGGCCUCACCAGAGCUGCCUUAUGUUGCUUGUAACUAGGAUCCCAGACUAUAGGGUCACUUGGAGCUGGUGGAGAGAGGCUGUCAUUUGGUCCCACGGGAGAGGGGCACAGUUGGCCUCGGCUCUUUGCCUCUUGCCUUACUUUCCCUUGUCUGGGAAACAGCACCCCCUCCACAUUCUCUUCUAGAAAACCCAUGCUCCCAACCUCAGCCCCAGUCCAUUCUCCACUUUUUACUACUUUCCACAGACUAGACUUUCUUGCUCUGUGUCCCAACACUCUCAAGAGUUCUCUCUCCAAGGUCAUAGUUACCUAAUCUGAGAAGUCAACUCAGGUGAUAGGUGAAUACAUUUCACCUUCAGACAGGGCAGAGUGAAACUUCACUUCUGCGCAUCUUACCUCAGUUUAUAAAUAUCUUUAAUGAAUAUGAUCUUUGUAGUGUCAUGACUGUCUUCUCCUUUACAGAGACUCUUUUCUCUACAGAGACGCCAUUGUGCCAUCUUUGGAGAACCAAAUCUUACUUUCCCUAGGAAGCCAUUCUCCUCUCUCACCCUCUCACCAAACGGCUGUACCGACACUCUGUGUCAGGUGCACGAAGACCAUUUGAGCUCCUUUUCUGACAACUCUGAUUGGUCCAGGGAUGGGCAUGUGACACACUCAGAGCCAAUGAGAUGCAACGGGACUUUUUGUUGGGGCAUCUGGAUUGACAGAGGCCCUUUUCUCCUGGGCUUAGUUUGUCCUUCAGCCAUGGCAGGAGGUGCCCUCUAAGAAUGGCCCUGAGAGGCAAAGAGAGGAGCUGAGGAGCCAGUAGGCACCUGCUGGGACCUGAGGACAGCAUCUGAGCCUCUGGAUUCAGCUGUGUCUAAGCCAACAAACUAUUCCUUGCACGUUUUAGGUAUCUGAUAUUGUAAAUUUCUUUCUUUUAAAUCUAUUUAACUCAAAAAACCAAGAGUGCUGACUUAUAAAAUCCAAUUAUAUGAGGGUUUUACUUGGUCUGGAAGAAUCUGUAAGAGUAGGCUGGAAGGCACGGGGCAGACCAGGAGAGAGGUAACGGUUCAGAGAGGGUGUCUGAGAUCAUCCGGGGUAGCUGGUUACUACUACUCAGCACCUGCACUCAGCUGGCUCUCUAAGCAGAGUCACCAAGUCAUCAGUUCUCACCUUUAUUUCUCCUGCAGGUGUCCUUCUGUACCUUUAAGGCAGAGCACCCAAGUAGCUUUAGGUGGUUUCAAUUAGGCCUACAGUUCGCUUGGCAUGUGAUGAUGCGUACUCUUAAGAAUUUCCCAAGAGGACCCAACCUCAUUUAGGAUUUUGAUGCUGGAUUGGGGGCUCUGGUUCCACUGAACAUUUAAAAAUGCUGGAUCCCUGAUCUGCUAAGGACUCAGACAGUGGGGACAGAAUGACAUGCUUGGGGAGAAAAGUAUCUUCCUGGUCACAAAAAGAUUUUUAAUUGUUCUGCAAUUAUGGUGUUUUUUUUUUUUUUUUUGUCUUUGCUGUUGCUGACUUAAAGGAGGGAAGGUUCCCACCACCCUUCGGGGUUCACUGUUGACGCAGAAUGAACUGACACUGCAGGGUGACAUCUGAGCCUGUCACUGCUUGGCUGGAUUUCAGGCCAUGUCCUUUGGUCUUGCUAAUCGGUUUUCCUGAUUUCCUGGGCUAAUGACUCUCUUUCUCUGGUCUCCAUUCACUGCACCUGGCAUUUCUCCUGUGAAGCCCUUUCUUUCACAUUCUUAUUUAAAGCAAUUGUUGAUGGACACCAGGCUUGCUUAUGGACUAGUGUCUCUGACCCUGGGUCAAAGCAGAAAAUAGGAUUUCUGAGAAGUGUCACAGAGGUCUCAGUUGUCAGGACUGGCAUAGUGAGCACAGACCCAGUGCUCAAAGGACUAUGGCAGGUCCUGUCGGAGAGGAGAGAAUGCAAGCUUGGAACUUCACGGAAUUUAUUCCAAAAGGCAGAUGUGAAAUUCAGACCUGGUGAAGGACUGGGUUUCUGUAGGUGGAAAAAAUAUAGCUACCAAAGUGAUUUGCAUAUAGUUGAACAUUUCAAUUAAAAGAUUUAACAUCUGAAGCUUUAAUGAGUUGUGAGUGACUCUGUGUAGCAAUCAGGAUAGCUAGCUUAUGCUUCAGUAACAAAAGAUUCGCCAAAUCUCAGUGGCUUAAAAUAAGAAACAAUUCAUUCUCACAAAUGCUGAAUUUCCCCUCUAUUAUGACAGGGGGGUUGCACAUUGUAUUCACACAGAGCCCUGGUCUUCCUCUUGAAACAUGUAUCUAGGACCAUGUGUCAAGGAGUUUAAUGAACACUGGCUCAAGAAUGACAUGGACCCCUUUUACUCACAUGUCAUUGGCAAAACCAGUUGCAUGACAACACCAAACAUCAGAAGUGCCGAGGAAGUGCAGUUCUCCCAAAAAGUAGGCAGGAGGCCUUUAACAUAUUUAGCAAAUCUCACUGAUGGCCACCACACCCCAUCACGCACAAGAAUAUGAAGCUUUGCCAAGAUGAGAAUCCGACUGCCCUGUGGCAAAGCUGGGGGGUAGGACAAGAGCUGUGCUCCAGACUGGACUCCACCUGGCGUUUGGAAACCAGAAAGGGCUGGGCUUGUUUCCCAUCCACCUUGUCUUCAAAUAAAUAAUACACUGAUUAAAAAAUUCAGAUUUGUGAUGAAUAACCAUCUCCGAACAGAAAUCCAACUUUCGCCAUUAGAAGUGGAGAAGUCUAAACAUAUCAAUGGUGGUGACCAAUGAAGGGCUCUUUUGGAAGAAAUGAAACAGUGAAAUUCGAAUGUAACCAAGAUGAAUGAAACGGAUGAGACCACAUUGGAUGCUGAAUGGAAGCUUAAAGAAACAUUCAUGAAAGCGUUUCAGUAGGGAGCUAGGCUGUGAAGUAGCUGCACUUCAGGCAGGAUGGCAUCUAGGCCACAGAACUGUUUGCAAAAAUGGCAGUUUCCAGUGGGUCCCUGGAGUCAGGAUCCAGAUGCACUGGGAAAAAAAUGCACUGUCAGAAGGCCUGGAUGUGACAUGAAAUGUCUGGUGAACACCCUGCUCCUGUGGCCUUUGAACCACGUGUAUCUGUGUGUAUGUAGACACUCAUCCCUCAGUAUCCAUGGGACAUUGGCUCCAGGACCUCCCAAGGAGACCAAAGUCAAUGAAUGCUGGAGUCCUUCAUAUAAAAUGCUGUAGUAUUGGGGCAUAGCCUACACACAUCUCUAUACUUUAAAUCAUCUCUUGAUCACUUUUGAUACCUAAUGCAUAAUGUAGAUGGUAUCAAAAUAGUUUUUAUACUGUAUUGCUUAGGAAAUAAUGACAAGGAAAAGGUCUGUAGGUAUUCAGUACAGACAAUUUUUUGAAUAUUUUCCAUCUGAUGUUGAGUUCACAGAUCUAGAAUCCAUGAAUACAGAGGGCUGACCGUAUAUAUACACCACCCUCCAACACAUAUAUGCUGUAUAUAUAUGUAAUUUGUAAAUUUACAGUGAACAUAGGACUCCAAGGGCUAAAAAAUGUAUUUUGUACUGAGUUAUGAUUGGCAUUAUCAGCAGGAGCCCACUAAUGAAAACAAUAAACAUUAGAAGCGAUGCGUGAUGAUCUUACAACACACACAGAAUAUUUAUAUUGGACAUGCAUCUCUCUAAGUGCUGAUGGUGAGCCCUGUGGAAUCUUGAGCAAAGGGGCCCUGGUUCCAGGUCCAUCCCAACAUGUUGAGUCACCCCUUUGUUUGAGGCCCAGGAGAUGUGUACCCCUUGAGUUAGACCACCAUGGGAAGGGUUUGGAUGAGUGGAAAACUCUAUCUUUUGUAAAAUGAGAGAUGGAAGAUUGAAAAAGGGAAUGUGGGAAGAGAAUAGACAUGCUGACACCCAGCAAGCAGGCUGUCUGGCAGGUCACUCUGGGGACUAGGGGAGUUGGAAGAUUAUGAACUGUCCUCGCCCUGCUACCCUUGUAAAACGUCUUGCGUUCCCUGGUAAUCUUCCUCUGUCAGGCCACCUUUGCUUCACACAUGAAAUUGUUGUUCUGGCUUUUCUUUCUGUGUUCAUUUUAUAAGAACCAAAUCAUGUGGGUCUAGUGUGACCCCUUGAAAGUCAUUCAUUGUCUGAUUUGCAUCCUCCUGGACCACCAGGUGCAUGGGGUGGUGUGGAUCCCUCCUCCCUUAAGCACCCAUCCCCCUCCAUCUGCAAAGAAAUUCCAGUUUGUUUGUUUGUUUAUUUAUUUUGAGACAGAGUCUCACUAUGUCACCCUUGGUAAAGUGCCAUGGCGUCACAGCUCACAGCAACCUCAAACUCUUGGGUCUAAGUGAUUCUCUUGCCUCAGCCCCCCAAGUAGCUGGGACUACAGGUGUCCCGCCACAGCGCCUGGCUAUUUUUUGUUGCAGUUGUCAUUGUUGUUUAGUUGUUGGGGCUGGGUUCGAACCUGCCAGCCUGGGUCUAUGUGGCCGACUUCCUCUCCACUGAGCUAUGGGCGCCGCCCAGAAAUUCCACUUUAAUACUCUCAGGACACUCUUUCCUGCCCCUCCCCUCUGUCUCCCUUCUCGUCAAGACCCCACCUCCUCUUCCUCUUCCCCCUUCCCUUGCUUCCACUUUUCUGUUCAUCUCCAGUCUUGGUCUAACUUCUCUCCUUAUCUUUUUUCUCCCUAAACAUUUCCACAGAAUUAAAUCUCAAACGUCAUUUGCAUAAAACCAAUACAAAGGGGCCAAGUGUGACAUUGCUUUAUGGGCCUGGGUCAAUAGCAUUGACAAAUGAAGCUGAUAUCAAAGAAAACAAAUUGUUAGUGUUACUGAGAAAUUAUUCUGUGGGUACUAAAUAUUUGCAUGAAGUAACCAAAACGCUCUGGGGUUUAGGUAGAUGAAUUCCAUUCCAGAACCACUAAAAUGAAAAGCCAACUGCAAAUUAGCUUUGAAAUGGACCUGCCUGUCCUCUGAGAUUUUACAGUGACUAAUGGAUUAGUCCCCGAGUGAACACAAACCUA
Nycticebus coucang (slow loris) is the source of this 6189-nucleotide long non-coding RNA. RefSeq lists it as uncharacterized. The transcript has 5 exons. The record is from RefSeq and is a predicted model, not a curated record. Lineage: Eukaryota; Metazoa; Chordata; Mammalia; Primates; Lorisidae.